RNAcentral lists this unclassified non-coding RNA (331 nucleotides) under uncultured fungus. RNAcentral's name for it is "partial contains small subunit ribosomal RNA, internal transcribed spacer 1, and 5.8S ribosomal RNA". The stretch from base 1 to 73 matches the Rfam family "Eukaryotic small subunit ribosomal RNA", at positions 1759 to 1831 of the family's 1831-position model. The record is from RNAcentral. Lineage: Eukaryota; Fungi.
CCAAACUUGGUCAUUUAGAGGAAGUAAAAGUCGUAACAAGGUUUCCGUAGGUGAACCUGCGGAAGGAUCAUUACCGAGAUUAGGGCCCAUUUAGGGCCCAACCUCCCAACCCCAUGUUUACGAAUCUUUUUGUUGCCUUGGCGGAUCGUUAAAACACGCUGAAAUAUGUGUGCUGCCAUCGGCUUUUAAAAAGCCUUUGGUGUGACGCCCGCCGUAGGAAUUUUUAAGAAACUCGUUUAUAAACAAGAUUAAUAAAACUGAAGAGAGAUUUAAAUAAGCAAAAACUUUCAACAACGGAUCUCUUGGUUCUGGCAUCGAUGAAGAACGCAGC